RNAcentral lists this ribosomal RNA (403 nucleotides) under Verrucomicrobiota bacterium. RNAcentral describes it as "Verrucomicrobia bacterium partial 16S ribosomal RNA". It matches the Rfam family "Bacterial small subunit ribosomal RNA", at positions 355 to 776 of the family's 1533-position model. Lineage: Bacteria; Pseudomonadati; Verrucomicrobiota. The record is from RNAcentral.
UGGGGAAUAUUGCACAAUGGGGGAAACCCUGAUGCAGCGACGCCGCGUGAGCGAUGAAGGCUUUCGAGUCGUAAAGCUCUGUCCUAUGGGAAGAUAAUGACGGUACCAUAAGAAAAAGCCCCGGCUAACUACGUGCCAGCAGCCGCGGUAAUACGUAGGGGGCUAGCGUUGUCCGGAAUCACUGGGCGUAAAGGGUUCGCAGGCGGCAAUGCAAGUCAGAUGUAAAAGGCAAAGGCUCAACCUUUGUAAGCAUCUGAAACUGUAUAGCUUGAGAAGUGUAGAGGCAAGUGGAAUUUUUAGUGUAGCGAUGAAAUGCGUAGAUAUUAAAAAGAAUACCGGUGGCGAAGGCGACUUGCUGGGCACAAUCUGACGCUGAGGAACGAAAGCGUGGGGAGCAAACAGG